This 433-nucleotide ribosomal RNA is filed under the name uncultured bacterium. Its description in RNAcentral is "partial 16S ribosomal RNA". It matches the Rfam family "Bacterial small subunit ribosomal RNA", at positions 29 to 507 of the family's 1533-position model. The record is from RNAcentral.
AACGAACGCUGGCGGCAUGCCUAACACAUGCAAGUCGAACGAGACCUCCGGGUCUAGUGGCGCACGGGUGCGUAACGCGUGGGAACCUGCCCUUAGGUUCGGAAUAACUCCCCGAAAGGGGUGCUAAUACCGGAUAAUGUCUUCGGACCAAAGAUUUUUCGCCUUUGGAUGGGCCCGCGUUGGAUUAGGUGGUUGGUAGGGUAAAAGCCUACCAAGGCGACGAUCCAUAGCUGGUCUGAGAGGAUGAUCAGCCACACUGGGACUGAGACACGGCCCAGACUCCUACGGGAGGCAGCGGUGGGGAAUAUUGGACAAUGGGCGAAAGCCUGAUCCAGCAAUGCCGCGUGAGUGAUGAAGGCCUUAGGGUUGUAAUGCUCUUUUACCCGAGAUGAUAAUGACAGUACCGGGAGAAUAAGCUCCGGCUAACUCCGUG